AGCAGCCGCGGUAAUUCCAGCUCCAAUAGCGUAUAUUAAAGUUGCUGCAGUUAAAAAGCUCGUAGUUGAAUUUCGGGAUCGAUAUAUCGGUCGUGCCUCGGUACGUACUGGUGUUUUCGGUUUCUCCCUUCUGACGAACCUUGAUGUCAUUAAUUUGGUGUCUUGGGGAAUCAGGACUGUUACUUUGAAAAAAUUAGAGUGUUUAAAGCAGGCUCACGCUUGAAUACAUUAGCAUGGAAUAAUGAAAUAGGACGUUUGAUUCUAUUUUGUUGGUUUCUAGGAUCGACGUAAUGAUUAAUAGGGAUAGUUGGGGGCAUUAGUAUUCAAUUGUCAGAGGUGAAAUUCUUGGAUUUAUUGAAGACUAACUACUGCGAAAGCAUUUGCCAAGGAUGUUUUCAUUAAUCAAGAACGAAAGUUAGGGGAUCGAAGACGAUCAGAUACCGUCGUAGUCUUAACCAUAAACUAUGCCGACUAGGGAUCGGAUGAUGUUAAUUUUUUUAAUGACUCAUUCGGCGCCUUA
Molecule: ribosomal RNA, 520 nt
Filed under: uncultured Glomus
Lineage: Eukaryota; Fungi; Glomeromycota; Glomeromycetes; Glomerales; Glomeraceae
Description: SSU rRNA
Rfam family: Eukaryotic small subunit ribosomal RNA
Source: RNAcentral